UGGGGAAUAUUGGACAAUGGGCGAAAGCCUGAUCCAGCAAUACCGCGUGUGUGAAGAAGGCCUUAGGGUUGUAAAGCACUUUCAAUUGGGAGGAAAACCUACCGGUCAAUACCCGGUAGCUUGACAUUACCUUUAGAAGAAGCACCGGCUAACUCCGUG
Molecule: ribosomal RNA, 159 nt
Filed under: uncultured bacterium
Lineage: Bacteria
Description: partial 16S ribosomal RNA
Rfam family: Bacterial small subunit ribosomal RNA
Source: RNAcentral